RNAcentral lists this ribosomal RNA (253 nucleotides) under uncultured bacterium. Its description in RNAcentral is "partial 16S ribosomal RNA". It matches the Rfam family "Bacterial small subunit ribosomal RNA", at positions 524 to 776 of the family's 1533-position model. The record is from RNAcentral.
GACAUAGGUGGCGAACGUUAUCCGGAUUUACUGGGCGUAAAGGGCGCGUAGGCGGCGCGGUAAGUCACUUGUGAAAUCUCUGAGCUUAACUCAGAACGGCCAAGUGAUACUGCAGUGCUAGAGUGUGGAAGGGGCAAUCGGAAUUCCGGGUGUAGCGGUGGAAUGCGUAGAUAUUGGGAAGAACACCGGUGGCGAAGGCGGCCAUCUGGACCGGCACUGACGCUGAGGCGCGAAAGCCAGGGGAGCGAAUGGG